RNAcentral lists this ribosomal RNA (506 nucleotides) under Alternaria alternata. Its description in RNAcentral is "eukaryotic LSU rRNA". The stretch from base 179 to 332 matches the Rfam family "5.8S ribosomal RNA". Lineage: Eukaryota; Fungi; Ascomycota; Dothideomycetes; Pleosporales; Pleosporaceae. The record is from RNAcentral.
UGCGGAAUCAUUACACAAAUAUGAAGGCGGGCUGGAAUCUCUCGGGGUUACAGCCUUGCUGAAUUAUUCACCCUUGUCUUUUGCGUACUUCUUGUUUCCUUGGUGGGUUCGCCCACCACUAGGACAAACAUAAACCUUUUGUAAUUGCAAUCAGCGUCAGUAACAAAUUAAUAAUUACAACUUUCAACAACGGAUCUCUUGGUUCUGGCAUCGAUGAAGAACGCAGCGAAAUGCGAUAAGUAGUGUGAAUUGCAGAAUUCAGUGAAUCAUCGAAUCUUUGAACGCACAUUGCGCCCUUUGGUAUUCCAAAGGGCAUGCCUGUUCGAGCGUCAUUUGUACCCUCAAGCGCUUGGUGUUGGGCGUCGUCUCUAGCUUUGCUGGAGACUCGCCUUAAAGUAAUUGGCAGCCGGCCUACUGGUUUCGGAGCGCAGCACAAGUCGCACUCUCUAUCAGCAAAGGUCUAGCAUCCAUUAAGCCUUUUUUCAACUGACUCGGAUCAGGUAGGA